UCCACAGUAGUAUCGGGUUUUUUUGG
Molecule: non-coding RNA, 26 nt
Filed under: Mus musculus (house mouse)
Lineage: Eukaryota; Metazoa; Chordata; Mammalia; Rodentia; Muridae
Source: RNAcentral